Molecule: non-coding RNA, 85 nt
Organism: Blastosporella zonata
Lineage: Eukaryota; Fungi; Basidiomycota; Agaricomycetes; Agaricales; Lyophyllaceae
Source: the annotation of a GenBank genome assembly
UCUUUGCUAGUAUAUCGGUUAGUACACGCGCCUGUCAUCAGCUCGUAGGCCGCGCGAAAGCUGGGUUCGACUCCCAGGCAGAGAG